AAGUAAAUGACAGAGUGGCUAUGUGACUGGCUUGAAACCAGUUUAUGGGGGUUCAAUUCCUCCUUUUCUCG
This 71-nucleotide transfer RNA is filed under the name Paraliparis meridionalis. RNAcentral's name for it is "tRNA-Ser (UCN)". It matches the Rfam family "tRNA". Rfam says of the family: Transfer RNA (tRNA) molecules are approximately 80 nucleotides in length. Their secondary structure includes four short double-helical elements and three loops (D, anti-codon, and T loops). The record is from RNAcentral. Lineage: Eukaryota; Metazoa; Chordata; Actinopteri; Perciformes; Liparidae.